AUCCUCAACCCACUGAGCAAGGCCAGGGAGUGAACCUGCAACCUCAUGGUUCCUAGUCGGAUUCGUUAACCACUGUGCCACAACGGGAACUCCUUAGUUCCUAUUCUUAAUGAAAACAUUUUCUGCCUGAAUUUUUUAGUGUGGCGUUAUUAAACAAUGAAAACAUCUUUUCCAUACUUUUCAAAGUCUACCAGUUCCCUAUAUGUUUUGUUGGUUUGUACUAUAAAUGAACUCUAAAUAUUUUAGGAAAAAGUUUUAUGAUAGAUAAGUUCUUUUUAAAAUUUAGCACCUAAUUUUUUAAAAAUCAAAAUGAAAAAUUUCUUGCAUAAAGGGGAACGUUUACCUUUUACUUUGUUUUUCUUCCAUGUGGUAAAUCUUUUCCUUUACAAAGGAAGUGUGCUUACAGAAUUACUGAGGUGGUUUUUAGAAAGCAGUAAUCAUAGAAACCCCGUCCGUGCUUGCCCUAAUCUGUCUCCCCAAAGCCCUUGGUCUGAAAGCCAGCCGUGGCUCUUGUCCUUAUUACAUGUGACUCGUGGAACAGGAUUGUGCUGUUCACUGUGUACACUGGCACGGUGCCCUAGCAGCCCCUGUGAUGCUGCCUCAACAUCAGGAAGCUGUUUGUGAGUUUUACACCGUAUUGUAUACUAUAUUACAGUGUAUUUACUCUGUUGAUAAGUUACAGAAUAUCUGUAGUAUUUCUGCAUAAUCUAUAAAAAUACGACAUUAGAAAAUCUAGGGACUGUAAAUAUGAAAACAUGAAAAAAAGUUCUUUGGCACAAAAUCCCCUCCAAAAUAUGAAUAAUAUUUGCAUUGAGAGCCAUGAGAUUAAAUAUGCUUCAUUUUAUUAAAAAAUACUUUGGGUGAGACUAACUGGGUAUGGCGAUUUGGUUAAUUUUAGUGCAAAAUAGGAAUAAUAUUUGCAUUAAGAGCCAUGAGAUUAAAUAUGCUUCAUUUUAUUUAAAAAUACUUUGGGCGAGGCUAACUGGGUAUGGCGAUUUGGUUAAUUUUAGUGCAAAAUAGGAAUAAUAUUUGCAUUAAGAGCCAUGAGAUUAAAUAUGCUUCAUUUUAUUUAAAAAUACUUUGGGCGAGGCUAACUAGGUAUGGCAAUUUGGUUAAUUUUAGUGCAAAAUAGGAAUAAUACUUGCACUGAGAGCCAUGAGAUUAAAUAUGCUUCAUUUUAUUUAAAAAUACUUUGGGCGAGGCUAACUAGGUAUGGCAAUUUGGUUAAUUUUAGUGCCAAGUAUGAAUAAUACUUGCACUGAGAGCCGUGAGAUUAAAUAUGCUUCAUUUUAUUAAAAAAUACUUUGGGCUAGGCUAACUAGGUAUGGCGAUUUGGUUAAUUUUAGUGCUUUUUUUAUUUUUAUUAUUUUUGGCUGUGCCUGUGGCACACGGAAUUUCCUGGGGUCUAACCCGCACCUCAGCAGCAACCCAAGCCUCUGCAGUGACAACGCUGGAUCCCUGACCCGUUGUGCCAGGAGAGAGCUCCCAGGUCCACCGCAGGUCCCCCAGCUCUGGUGGAGAACUCACCCUGGGGCGGUGCCGGUGUCAUACUGGCCUCAGGGAGCUGCCACUCAGCCAGGACGCUUUUGCCGACCUCUCCGUGUUCAUGGAGGGAUAGAACUGUUCAGCUAAACAUGCUGAUGUGGCAAAGGAGCAGCACAAAGAUCCAUGCCCCGAGGGGGACCUCCAGCAGGAAAGGACAGGCGUGGGAUCCAGCAUGGUACCCUUCUGGUGGGAGCAGCAGCGAAGGCUCCAGCGGGCAGCUCACGGACCCUGGGAAGGACGCAUCCUGCUCCCUCCUCCCCCCGGUAGAACGUCCUUUGGGCCAUGUGACCUGGUGAAUCCCUGUGAAACCAGCACUGAAGCUCCAGAUGACUGGCAAAUGCUGUUUCAAGCGAGCCGGAAGUGUCUUAGCUGCCCGAGCCCCUCUGCUCAGCUUUCGUCCAUCUGCAUUUGUCCUGGCCUCCUUCUCUUCGCUCCCGGUCAGCGCAGAUUGGCCCCCGGUCCCCCUGCACGAUCCCAGGGCGCUGCCCAUAACCUGGGCACUCCCCGCCAGAGUGGUGUCUCCUGCCCAGCCCAGGCCUUGAAGCUGUGCUCUUCUGACGAGAAUCGGCUGAAAGGUGUUGCAUACGCCCCUGUUUCCGGUGAUCAGAAGCCACCAGUCGUGAGCUUGCAGAGCUUGGAGGGGUGAACACACACCACUGGCCGGUCCCAGAAAUAAGGAAGGGGAUUGGCUCCUGAAUUCAUGCAGGGGCUCUGGCCCCACUGUGCGGUUCAGAGGCCCUGCUCACACCUGCACUUCGGUGGAAGAGUGGACCCAGAUUCACUUCCGGGGACGAGGCCACGGGCUCAGGUCUUCUCGGAACCACGCCAUUUGCAGACCCUGAGAUCAACAGCUCCCAAAGGCCCUAGAUCGUGCUAAUGUGUGACCUACAUAUACGGAAAACCCAUCAAGUCUCACUUGGAAGAAAAUUCUAAACCAUUAAAGGGGAACUUUAUUAUCAUCAAAAAGCAUUUUUGAUGAUGUCUUUCUGCACACCGUUCAUUUUCUUCUCGUUUGCUCCUGUCUGUGACUGCGUCUAUACAACAUCACACACAAGAAAGAAAGGGAACAAGUCAGUCAAAGAAGUUUUUCAUGUUAUGCAGAUAACACUCCUGGAGGAUUUAAUUUCUUCUUUUCCGCCACAUGGACGGUCUUGUUGAGACUUGGUGUCCUUUACUACGAUGACAAGCGCUUCCUUGUCUCAGUCCAACCUUCACCCUCACAUGAAUUUUUAAAAAUCUUUAAUUUUUGAGAAGCUCUUCUCCACUUUUGAAAGACAGAGGCUUCCCCAAACCUUUGAGGAUGCUCAUAGAAAGGGGUGCAGUAUUAACUGUGAACCCCCCUCUCCCCAGGCUUCCUUGGAUGAUGUUGAAGAUCAUGAAAUGAAGGAAAGGAUGUUUGGAUCAGAACAGGAAGCUCUGCACUUUGCUGAGCCCCACGAAUAUGGGAGCAGUUGUCAAAAAUCAGACCUGGACCCUCUGCCGACCUUGCUUCAUGUGAAGCCUCCACAAGCAUCAAUAUUCCUUGGCGGCGGAAAGGGCUAGUGCUGCCCGUGACCGUGGCCUUGGGUCUGGCUGGUGCUGUCUUGCUCACAUUGACUCUGAGCCAAAUUGUUCUUGUUAGUAGCAACCAGCGUGGUUUCCCAAGUGAUUUAGGCUGUGCUGCCCCACUUCAGCUUGAUUGUCAACACUCUACACGGGAUCUAGUUACAGUUUGAUCGCUUCCCUUUUCUUGGCAAAGAAAACAUUUGCUAUCAUCUACGCUCACCAUGGAUGCCAAGUUCGUUUAAACUCAUUACCCUUCCUCUCCUGUUCUCACUUCCCAUGCGUGCCACAAAUAUCACCGUGACCUGGCAGCAUCAACAACACGACGGAACACCCGAGUGUAGCAAAGAAAGUCUGAUGAAAACCCCACGUUUUUAUACUAUUGGGCGACAGCCUUUCGAAUUACACUUUUAAACUGUAUCAGCCUAGUUUUAAGAAUGGGAAACAGGAAAUUGGCAGGAAAUCCCACUGCCAACAUGUUUAUGAUGUCUUUACGGACUGCAUUUUACAGGGAAACUGAAAAACUUGAGGGGGUUUGUCUUACCCCACUUAAUUCAAGGUUUCUUUGUUCUGCAUAGAUUAAUUGCCAUAAAUGGAGCAACCAUAAAUGGAGCAUUGGUUUUGUCUUCAGGAAACUGCUGGAAGUUCCCAGGCUCUCCCCGUAAUCUCCAUCAGCUACCCUCAACUGCCCGCGAAUAAGCAGGAAUCUAAGGAAAAACAGCACCUGCCACGCAGAAACACGGCUUCUAGGACCGGCCCCAGGUAUUGGAGGAUGGACUCAGCGCAACGAAGGAGGAAAAUUAGAAGAGAUAUAAGAGAGGCCCUUACCUCCUAAGUUCACGGAGUCAGCGCCCAAAGCCCCUGACACAGAGCUGAGAGCCGGAAGCCCCCUGGGUUGACUGGCUUGUGCUCACCUAGGCCUUGGAGGGGAACGUGAGUCACCUGGUGACAAGGCUGCCGUGACAAACAGACUUUCUCUAAUAAGCGGUUGGCGUCUUUGGCCAUUUGUAGGACAUCGCUGGCUUUACCCAAGCGAAGGGCUCUUGGUGUAAAUUCGAGGCUGUUGGGGAGAUCACGUCCUAUGAAAACAAAGAAAGAGGGAAAAGGAAAUGCUGACCCUCCCCAGAGCCGAAAAAGCAGGACUAAAUUUCCAACAGGUUCUGUUGGUGGAGCGGUAAUCACGACGAGAGGGUGAAUCCAGCGCCAAGAUGAAGGCGGAGAAAGGAAAUCUGUCCCUUGAGGUUGAAACAAAACCACGGGGAAGGAAAAGGACAAAAUGAGUGGGAGAAGUAAUUUUUUUCCUAACCAGGAGAACAGAAAACUGAAGAUAAGUCCUCCUUCCUCUGAAGAAGGGCUGGACCUCGUCUUCUCUAUGUCGCCUCUGUCCCCUCACUCACAUGCUUGCCUUUCAUUGCGCCAUCCAGUCCUCCAGGGAGAAAAAGAAUCUUGCGGAGUUCCCGUCGUGGCGCAGUGGUUAACGAAUCCGACUAGGAACCAUGAGGUUGCGGGUUCGG
Non-coding RNA from Sus scrofa (pig), 4601 nucleotides. The record is from RefSeq and is a predicted model, not a curated record. NCBI's taxonomy places the organism in Eukaryota, Metazoa, Chordata, Mammalia, Artiodactyla, Suidae.